Molecule: unclassified non-coding RNA, 267 nt
Filed under: uncultured Acremonium
Lineage: Eukaryota; Fungi; Ascomycota
Description: sequence contains ITS2
Rfam family: 5.8S ribosomal RNA (bases 1-52)
Source: RNAcentral
AACGCACAUUGCGCCCGCUAGUAUUCUGGCGGGCAUGCCUGUCUGAGCGUCAUUUCAACCCUCGCCCCCGGCUCUUGCUGGGAGCGGUGUUGGGGAUCGGCCGCCCGUCACUGGGAGGCCGGCCCCGAAAUAGAGUGGCGACCACGCCGUGUGCUCCUCUGCGUAGUAGUAAAUCACCUCGCAGGCGGACAGCGGUGCGGCCUGCCGUAAAACCCCCAACUCUUUCUGGUUGACCUCAGAUCAGGUAGGAAUACCCGCUGAACUUAA